Molecule: long non-coding RNA, 2154 nt
Organism: Myotis daubentonii (Daubenton's bat)
Lineage: Eukaryota; Metazoa; Chordata; Mammalia; Chiroptera; Vespertilionidae
Source: RefSeq, a predicted model, not a curated record
CCUGCGCGCCCGAGGCUGCUGCUCCGGAACCUGCGCCCCGCCCCGCCUUCUCCCGGAAUGUCUCGCUUUUUCUUUUUUUUUUUUUUAGAUGGUCAGGCUAAGUUUUCGCAUUUAGGGUUUCCUCCUGUCCGUAAUCCAGAACGGAGGAGCCACUGACCCCUUUGGUUUGGCCUUUACCCUGCACACCCCUUCUGGUCCCCUUUCUUCACACCAGCCAUUAUCAGCACAUCACUGGAGAACGUGGUGCCAUCCUGGGCAGGAGGAGUUGCGGGGGAAACUGAGUUCUGUGUUGGGACCCCUUUGCUUUUCCACACAGUCUCUAGGAGGAGGGAAAGAAAGAGACCUGAACUUUCAUGUGAGGACUUUAACCAUCUCGCCCCCUCUGCCCCAGGUAUUAUUAACUCUCCUUUUGCGUGGCGGGGAGGUGAAGGUCCAACAAGAUCAUCUGUGGACCCAGGGCUUGGGCCCUCUUAGAACCUCACUUUUGCGCCUUGCGAUUGGUUCUGUGGCUGACAAAGGCCCCCAAACUGUGAGUCUUGGCAGAGUGAUUAGGCCCCAGAUCCCGACCCAGCGGUUCUGAGGAGUGGGCGGGCCCCUCCCUAAGGCCAAACGGAUUGGAAAGGCAAACAGAGUUGGAGAAACUAGGAAAAGUUUGCCAACCCCUGGAGUAAGAGGAUGAUGAAACCACAAGAUGGAAGGAUCCUGAGUUCCUGAUUAAUUCACUGGAGCAGAACUCAGCGUACCCCCACCCCACCCUGUGACAGAAGGAGAUGGUCCAUAAAGAUGCAUCACUUUCUCUAAGCAUUUAUUGUCAAAUACUAUUGCAAAGAAGAAAAAGUCAGCAGCCAUUUCACUGGGGCCUUGCCUGGAGCCAGGAACUGGAGCCAAUGGACUGUGUCCUGAAGGUUUGAAAUUCCACAGAAGUCAAAACUGAGAGUUUGCGUUCCUCACAGACAAGCAAAACUUUCCACAGAAAUAUCAUCACCGUGCAGCAGCAGAAGCCUGCCUUGUGUCAGCCUCCACCCCAGAACUGCAGGUUAUCUUGGUUAGCAGAACCAACUGGAAAGGUAUUAGGUAAGACAAAUCUCAGUGUGAAAGUGUCAGUAGAAACUGGGUCACUUUUGAUAUUCUGUCCUUACAGGUGGACAAGGGUAAUAGGAAGCUGCAAUUUCCCAGAAGAUGAGAGUUGUCUGGAAUGAAUUCUACUAUUGAACUUUAACCCAACCCACCAGAGUCACUCAGCAGCAAAAUUGGCUUGACAGUGAGGCAACUUGUGGGCAAGGCCUGUGAGAAAACCCUUGAUUACUUCCUGUUUGUCAAGUCAUUGCAAAGCUUGCCCAGCAGGCUUUGCCAUCAGUGACACCAGCUGAGGUGACUGAGGGUGGGAAGGCAGAAACGCCAGUGAUGAAAAUGAGGUUUCCAGGCAAAUCAUUUGAUUUUCAGAAAUAGUUGUGGUUUAGUCAUGCGUGGUGUGUUUUGCUUGAUACUUUGAUAAAAGGAAACAGAGUCCUGUGUAGUAGUCAGGAACAGAACCAUCUGCAGGUGUUAGAAAACAGUGGUUAACAGUGGUGGCUUAACCAUGAGAGAGAUGUGUGUAUCUCAUGCAAACCAAAUCUGGAUUUGAGCAAUCUGGGACUGGUUUGGCAACCUCAUGAUCAGCAGGGACUGUGGCUCCCUCUUUAGCUUGUUCCUCCACCAAAUCUAUUCAUGAUCUAAGAUGGCUCUUCAACCUCUCCACCUGGAGGAAGGAGAAGAAGGGGAAGAAAGGAGCCCCCUUUCUUUGAGGACACUUCGUCAGAAGUCUCAUGUUGCAGUUCUGUUUACAUUCACUGCAUGGAACACAUUGGCUACACCUAGAGUUGAAGAUGGUUGGAAUAUAGUCUUCAAUGGGCAUGCAAGUGUCCAGCAAAACAUUGGGGGUCUUGUUACACACACACACACACACACACACAUGCACAACUGGAUGUCUCUGUACACUGUGUCCUCUCAGUAAAGAUAAAAUGUCUUGAUGCCAUUUGAUAACUCUAUAGAGACCUUAGGAAGCAUGUAUCCUCUUUUAUUUACUUAGGUGAUUUAGUUAGUUCUCCUCCUGCCAGUGGACACAUUAUACAGAUAGCAUCCUUUAUUUUUGUUUGUAGGAAUGUGAGAAACAAG